UGGGGAAUUUUGGACAAUGGGCGAAAGCCUGAUCCAGCAAUGCCGCGUGAGUGAAGAAGGCCUUCGGGUUGUAAAGCUCUUUUGUCAGGGAAGAAACGGUGAGGGCUAAUAUCCCUUGCUAAUGACGGUACCUGAAGAAUAAGCACCGGCUAACUACGUGCCAGCAGCCGCGGUAAUACGUAGGGUGCAAGCGUUAAUCGGAAUUACUGGGCGUAAAGCGUGCGCAGGCGGUUUUGUAAGUCUGAUGUGAAAUCCCCGGGCUCAACCUGGGAAUUGCAUUGGAGACUGCAAGGCUAGAAUCUGGCAGAGGGGCGUAGAAUUCCACGUGUAGCAGUGAAAUGCGUAGAUAUGUGGAGGAACACCGAUGGCGAAGGCAGCCCCCUGGGUCAAGAUUGACGCUCAUGCACGAAAGCGUGGGGAGCAAACA
This 427-nucleotide ribosomal RNA is filed under the name uncultured bacterium. Its description in RNAcentral is "partial 16S ribosomal RNA". It matches the Rfam family "Bacterial small subunit ribosomal RNA", at positions 355 to 774 of the family's 1533-position model. The record is from RNAcentral.